AUCUCCCCAAGCGAUCACACAUCAUUCCUGACAUAGUCACCUUAUCUCUAUUUAUUGACAAUAUCAUAACAGCCACCCUUAUUAAUCUCCCCCGAUAUUUAACACAAUAGCCUCCCGUAUCACUCCACAUAAUAGCCACUCGUAUCCCUUCGCAUAAUAGCCACACGUACCACUUCCCCCAGACAAUAGCAUAAUAGUCACCUGUAUCACUAGAGAUACAUCAAUAGCCCCCCUUAUCACUCCGCACAACAAUAGUGAGAUGCCACUCUUAUGCUUUGCAUAACAACAAUCAAUCCACACAAAAAAUCUAUAUAUGCUAACAUCACUACAACACGGAAAAUCAACUUGUACCACAAGGGCUCAUAAGCCAAAACCUCUUAACAACAACAAUAUCACCACAAUAAAUAGCUUACGACUUCGUUUCAAAGCGUAUAGGCUGUUGGGCCUCGUGCUAAGCGCAAAUCUUCA
RNAcentral lists this long non-coding RNA (468 nucleotides) under Nicotiana benthamiana. RNAcentral describes it as "long non-coding RNA (NBEN_LNC035051)". The record is from RNAcentral. Lineage: Eukaryota; Viridiplantae; Streptophyta; Magnoliopsida; Solanales; Solanaceae.